Molecule: ribosomal RNA, 459 nt
Filed under: uncultured bacterium
Lineage: Bacteria
Description: bacterial SSU rRNA
Rfam family: Bacterial small subunit ribosomal RNA
Source: RNAcentral
GCAAAUCAGACGGGCGUAGUCAUGUCCUAACCUGUUUCCGGAGCGUAACACGUAACUAACCUACCCAUCAUUGGGGGAUAGCCCGCCGAAAGGCGGAUUAAUACCGCAUAAGACAAUAGAAGGGCAUCCUUUAGUUGUUAAAGAUUUAUUGAUGAUGGAUGGGGUUGCGGGUCAUUAGCUAGUUGGUAAGGUAACGGCUUACCAAGGCGACGAUGACUAGGGGGGCUGAGAGGCUGGUCCCCCACACGGGCACUGAGAUACGGGCCCGACUCCUACGGGAGGCAGCAGUAGGGAAUAUUGGGCAAUGGGCGAGAGCCUGACCCANCCAUGCCGCGUGCCGGAUGAAGGCGCUCAGCGUUGUAAACGGCUUUGACUGGGAAGAACGGCAGGUUUGCGAACUUGUGUGACGGUACCAGCAGAAUAAGCACCGGCUAACUCCGUGCCAGCACCCGCGGUAAU